This 462-nucleotide ribosomal RNA is filed under the name uncultured bacterium. RNAcentral describes it as "bacterial SSU rRNA". It matches the Rfam family "Bacterial small subunit ribosomal RNA", at positions 20 to 508 of the family's 1533-position model. The record is from RNAcentral.
UGGCUCAGGAUGAACGCUGGCGGCGUGCUUAACACAUGCAAGUCGAACGGACGCUUUGGGAAACUGGAGCGUUAGUGGCAAACGGGUGCGUAACACGUGGGCGACCUACCCCAAAGUGGGGAACAACGGACCGAGAGGUUCGCUAAUACCGCAUUAGCUCAGUCCUUCAUUGGGUUGAGUAAAGCCGCAAGGCGCUUUGGGAGGGGCCCGCGGCCCAUCAGGUAGUUGGUGAGGUAAUGGCCCACCAAGCCGAUGACGGGUAGCUGGUCUGAGAGGACGAUCAGCCACACUGGCACUGAGAUACGGGCCAGACUCCUACGGGAGGCAGCAGUGAGGAAUAUUGCGCAAUGGGGGAAACCCUGACGCAGCGACGCCGCGUGGGCGACGAAGGCUUCGGGUCGUAAAGCCUUUGCAGGGACGAGUGAGGACGGUACCUGCCGAAUAAUUCGGCUAACUACAGUC